Molecule: unclassified non-coding RNA, 27 nt
Filed under: Dictyostelium discoideum
Lineage: Eukaryota; Evosea; Eumycetozoa; Dictyosteliales; Dictyosteliaceae
Source: RNAcentral
UAUGGGAUGCAAAUCAAGUACUGUAGG